Molecule: ribosomal RNA, 468 nt
Filed under: uncultured bacterium
Lineage: Bacteria
Description: partial 16S ribosomal RNA
Rfam family: Bacterial small subunit ribosomal RNA
Source: RNAcentral
GACGGACGCUGGCGGCGUGCUUAACACAUGCAAGUCGAACGGAAAGGCCCUGCUUUUGUGGGGUGCUCGAGUGGCGAACGGGUGAGUAACACGUGAGUAACCUGCCCUUGACUUUGGGAUAACUUCAGGAAACUGGGGCUAAUACCGGAUAGGAGCUCCUGCUGCAUGGUGGGGGUUGGAAAGUUUCGGCGGUUGGGGAUGGACUCGCGGCUUAUCAGCUUGUUGGCGGGGUAGUGGCUUACCAAGGCUUUGACGGGUAGCCGGCCUGAGAGGGUGACCGGCCACAUUGGGACUGAGAUACGGCCCAGACUCCUACGGGAGGCAGCAGUGGGGAAUAUUGCACAAUGGGCGGAAGCCUGAUGCAGCAACGCCGCGUGCGGGAUGACGGCCUUCGGGUUGUAAACCGCUUUCGCCUGUGACGAAGCGUGGGUGACGGUAAUGGGUAAAGAAGCACCGGCUAACUACGUG